Molecule: small nuclear RNA, 191 nt
Organism: Oryctolagus cuniculus (rabbit)
Lineage: Eukaryota; Metazoa; Chordata; Mammalia; Lagomorpha; Leporidae
Gene: U2
Rfam family: U2 spliceosomal RNA
About the family: U2 is a small nuclear RNA (snRNA) component of the spliceosome (involved in pre-mRNA splicing). Complementary binding between U2 snRNA (in an area lying towards the 5' end but 3' to hairpin I) and the branchpoint sequence (BPS) of the intron results the bulging out of an unpaired adenosine, on the BPS, which initiates a nucleophilic attack at the intronic 5' splice site, thus starting the first of two transesterification reactions that mediate splicing.
Source: Ensembl
AUCGCUUCUCGGCCUUUUGGCUAAGAUCAAGUGUAGUAUCUGUUCUUAUCAGUUUAAUAUCUGAUACGUCCUCUAUCCGAGGACAACAUAUUAAAUGGAUUUUUGGAGCCGGGAGUUGGAAUAGGAGCUUGCUCCGUCCACUCCUCGCAUCGACCCGGUAUUGCAGUACCUCCGGGCACGGUGCAAAAAAA